This 486-nucleotide ribosomal RNA is filed under the name Globigerinoides sacculifer. RNAcentral's name for it is "bacterial SSU rRNA". It matches the Rfam family "Eukaryotic small subunit ribosomal RNA", at positions 1191 to 1470 of the family's 1831-position model. The record is from RNAcentral. Lineage: Eukaryota; Foraminifera; Rotaliida; Globigerinidae.
UAAUUUGACUCAACGCGGGAAAUCUUACCAGGUCCAGACAUAUGGAGGAUUGACAGACAGUUAACCAAAACGCAGCAGCUAGUUUAACAAAACUAACAGCUCUUUCAAGAUUAUGUGGUAGGUGGUGCAUGGCCGUUCUUAGUUCGUGAAGUGAUUCGUUCGCCCAAUCGCAUUUCCAAACAACUAACAACUCAGAAUGCUGGGCAAUAGGACGUUUAAAGUGGCUCCUUACACCUUACAAAGGAAUGGCUGAUGAGAAACAACUCGAUCCGCUCAGCGUUCUAUUGGAAUGCAACGGACGUGAUUGCAAGCUUUUGUUUUGAGUUGCGGUUUUACUGAAAGACUCUACAAUCCGCAAACUUCAAUGAUCUGAAGUAGAAAACCUACAUGCUACAGUGAGAUAUUGUGGAUAAACUUAAGCGACCGCUCCAACAUUGUGUUUUUUUAAAACUGAUGAAGGUUGCGGCAAUAACAGGUCUGUGAUGC